CCUACGGGUGGCAGCAGUGGGGAAUAUUGCACAAUGGGGGAAACCCUGAUGCAGCGACGCCGCGUGAGUGAAGAAGUAUUUCGGUACGUAAAGCUCUAUCAGCAGGGAAGAAAAUGACGGUACCUGACUCAGAAGCCCCGGCUAACUACGUGCCAGCAGCCGCGGUACUACGUAGGGGGCAAGCGUUAUCCGGAUUGACUGGGUGUAAAGGGAGCGUAGACGGCAGCGCAAGUCUGGAGUGAAAUCGCAUGGCUUAACCAUGGAAUUGCCUUGGAAACUGUGCAGCUAGAGUGCAGGCGAGGUAAGCGGAAUUCGUAGUGUAGCGGUGAAAUGCGUAGAUAUUAGGAGGAACACCAGUGGCGAAGGCGGCUUACUGGACUGUAACUGACGUUGAGGCUCGAGAGCGUGGGGAGCAAACAGGAUUAGAUACCCUAGUAGUC
RNAcentral lists this ribosomal RNA (440 nucleotides) under uncultured bacterium. RNAcentral describes it as "partial 16S ribosomal RNA". It matches the Rfam family "Bacterial small subunit ribosomal RNA", at positions 338 to 795 of the family's 1533-position model. The record is from RNAcentral.